UAGCUGCAGUAAAUUAACUGUACUAAGGUAGCAUAAUAAAUUGUUUUUUAAUUAAAAACUAGAAUGAAAGAUAAAAUGAAAAACUAACUUAUUUUUAGUUUAAAAAGUAAAAUUUAAUAAUUAAGUAAAAAAUCUUAAAUUUAAUCUUAAAAGACAAAAAGACCCUUUAGAAUUUAAUAAAACAAUUUUGCUAAUAAACUAAAUUUUAUUAAGUUGGGGAGACUGUAAAACAAAAAUCUUUUAUUUAACUAAAACACUAAAUUAGUGUAAAUUAAAAAAUCCUUUAUGAAAAAAUAACAAAUUACCUAAGGGAUAACAGCGUAAAAUUUCUUAAAAGAUCAAAUUUAUAAAAUUUAUUACGACCUCGAUGUUGGAUUAA
RNAcentral lists this ribosomal RNA (379 nucleotides) under Aleurotrachelus ishigakiensis. RNAcentral describes it as "partial large subunit ribosomal RNA". Lineage: Eukaryota; Metazoa; Arthropoda; Insecta; Hemiptera; Aleyrodidae. The record is from RNAcentral.